ACCAAGGAGACCACUUUGAUUCUCCCUACCCCUCCAGAUGCUGCUAGGAAAACUCAAAUGGGAAGCACAGAUGACUGAAAAAUAACAGAUGUGGAACAGGUCUUUCGGAUGCUCAGUAAAAAAAAUAUGUGUUUUAUUUUUUUCUAGUUUAAUGAUGAUGAUGAUGAUGAUGAUUUUUAAUAGAGAGGGGAUCUCACCAUGUUGCCCAGUCUGGUCUCGAGCUCCUGGUCUCAAGUGAUCCUCAUGCCUUGGCCUCUCAAAAUGCUGGAUU
This 271-nucleotide long non-coding RNA is filed under the name Homo sapiens (human). RNAcentral describes it as "HSALNT0272584". The record is from RNAcentral. Lineage: Eukaryota; Metazoa; Chordata; Mammalia; Primates; Hominidae.